UGAGUUCAAAUUCGAUGCUAAG
This 22-nucleotide non-coding RNA is filed under the name Arabidopsis thaliana (thale cress). The record is from RNAcentral. Lineage: Eukaryota; Viridiplantae; Streptophyta; Magnoliopsida; Brassicales; Brassicaceae.